This 857-nucleotide ribosomal RNA is filed under the name uncultured Streptococcaceae bacterium. Its description in RNAcentral is "bacterial SSU rRNA". It matches the Rfam family "Bacterial small subunit ribosomal RNA", at positions 46 to 894 of the family's 1533-position model. Lineage: Bacteria; Bacillati; Bacillota; Bacilli; Lactobacillales; Streptococcaceae. The record is from RNAcentral.
GCCUAAAACAGCCAAUAGAACGCUGAGAACUGGUGCUUGCACCGGUUCAAGGAGUUGCGAACGGGUGAGUAACGCGUAGGUAACCUACCUCAUAGCGGGGGAUAACUAUUGGAAACGAUAGCUAAUACCGCAUAAGAGAGACUAACGCAUGUUAGUAAUUUAAAAGGGGCAAUUGCUCCACUAUGAGAUGGACCUGCGUUGUAUUAGCUAGUUGGUGAGGUAAAGGCUCACCAAGGCGACGAUACAUAGCCGACCUGAGAGGGUGAUCGGCCACACUGGGACUGAGACACGGCCCAGACUCCUACGGGAGGCAGCAGUAGGGAAUCUUCGGCAAUGGGGGCAACCCUGACCGAGCAACGCCGCGUGAGUGAAGAAGGUUUUCGGAUCGUAAAGCUCUGUUGUUAGAGAAGAAUGAUGGUGGGAGUGGAAAAUCCACCAAGUGACGGUAACUAACCAGAAAGGGACGGCUAACUACGUGCCAGCAGCCGCGGUAAUACGUAGGGGGCUAGCGUUGUCCGGAGUCACUGGGCGUAAAGGGUUCGCAGGCGGAAAUGCAAGUCAGGUGUAAAAGGCAGUAGCUUAACUACUGUAAGCAUUUGAAACUGCAUAUCUUGAGAAGAGUAGAGGUAAGUGGAAUUUUUAGUGUAGCGGUGAAAUGCGUAGAUAUUAAAAAGAAUACCGGUGGCGAAGGCGACUUACUGGGCUCAUUCUGACGCUGAGGAACGAAAGCGUGGGUAGCAAACAGGAUUAGAUACCCUGGUAGUCCACGCUGUAAACGAUGAGUGCUAGGUAUCGGAAUAAUUCGGUGCCGCAGUUAACACAUUAAGCACUCCGCCUGGGGAGUACGCACGCAAGUG